ACUCCUACGGGAGGCAGCAGUGAGGAAUAUUGGUCAAUGGACGCAAGUCUGAACCAGCCAUGCCGCGUGCAGGAAGAAUGUCCUAUGGAUUGUAAACUGUCUUUUAUUUGGGAAUAAACUCCGGUACGUGUACCGGCCUGAAGGUACCAAAUGAAUAAGCACCGGCUAACUCCGUGCCAGCAGCCGCGGUAAUACGGGAGGGUGCAAGCGUUAUCCGGAAUCAUUGGGUUUAAAAGGGUCCGCAGGCGGACUAAUAAGUCAGUGGUGAAAGCCCAUCGCUUAACGAUGGAACUGCCAUUGAAACUGUUAGUCUUGAAUUCGGUCGAAGUGGGCGGAAUGUGUCAUGUAGCGGUGAAAUGCAUAGAUAUGACACAGAACACCGAUAGCGAAGGCAGCUCACUAGGCCUGGAUUGACGCUCAGGGACGAAAGCGUGGGGAGCGAACAGGAUUAGAUACCCCGUGGUAGCGACUGA
Molecule: ribosomal RNA, 473 nt
Filed under: uncultured bacterium
Lineage: Bacteria
Description: bacterial SSU rRNA
Rfam family: Bacterial small subunit ribosomal RNA
Source: RNAcentral